RNAcentral lists this ribosomal RNA (621 nucleotides) under Escherichia coli. RNAcentral describes it as "bacterial SSU rRNA". It matches the Rfam family "Bacterial small subunit ribosomal RNA", at positions 49 to 652 of the family's 1533-position model. The record is from RNAcentral. Lineage: Bacteria; Pseudomonadati; Pseudomonadota; Gammaproteobacteria; Enterobacterales; Enterobacteriaceae.
GUACACAUGCAGUCGACGGUUACAGGAACCCGCUUGCUUUUCGCUGACGAGUGGAGGACGGGUGAGUAGUGUCUGGGAAACUGCCUGAUGGAGGGGGAUAACUACUGGAAACGGUAGCUAAUACCGCUAAACGUCGCAAGACCAAAGAGGGGGACCUUCGGGCCUCUUGCGCUCGGAUGUGCCCAGAUGGGAUUAUGGAGUAGGUGGGGUAACGGCUCACCGAGGCGACGAUCCCUAGCUGGUCUGAAAGGAUGACCAGCCACGCUGGGUCUGAGACACGCGUCCAGACUCCUAAGGGAGGCAGCACUGGGGAAUAUUGCACAAUGGGCGAAUCUUCGAUGCAGGACUGCCGCGUGUAUGAAGAAGGCCUUCUGGUUGAAAAAAGCUUUCAGAGGGCCGAGGAAGGGAGUAAAGUUAAUAACUUUGCUCAGAGCUUGACGUUACCCCGUCCCCUGACACCGGCUAACUCCGUGCCACGGCUAACUACAAUGCCGUAGAGGGUGCGGCGUUAAUCGCCGAAUUACUGGGUUGUCCGGAUUUAUUGGCGGUUUGUUAAGUCCAAUGUGUUUUCUCCGUCUAAGCCUGGGAACUGCAUUCCAGGCUGGAGGGCUUUGUCUCUUG